CUCAAUGGUGGGAUCGGGCGGGGGCGUCGUAAGACGCGCCGGUGUCAGUGAGGCCGGUAAUGCCAACUCCGUCCGGUUUCACCACCCGU
Molecule: non-coding RNA, 89 nt
Organism: Trichuris trichiura (human whipworm)
Lineage: Eukaryota; Metazoa; Nematoda; Enoplea; Trichinellida; Trichuridae
Source: Rfam